GCUGUGGGAUGCGGUUGCUGUUCUCCGUUCCAGCAGAGGAUAUUGAUUUUGACUCACGAGACUGCGGGAAAACAGCUGGAACAAGAACGGAGGCUGAGUGUUGAAAGGUCAAGAGGGCAAAAGGAGGAGAGAUGUGAGACAGAGAGAAACAGAGAGGGAUCACAGAGCCUUUAGGAGCUGUGGCCUCCUUGGAAGAAGUGACCACUGGGUGUGCUGUUAACCCCUGGCAUACCUGGUGUACCUCCGGAUGAUCUCUGCUUCCUCAUUGAUGACCCAGCUGCCUCCUGCUUCGUUUGCCCCAUGCUGGCCUUCCCCACUACAGUGGCCUAUAAACUCCUCCACUGUGAGCAAAAUAAACCCCUUUUUUUGCUCUUUCAGUUGCCUCUUUCAAGCAUUUGUUCACAGUGACAAGAAAAUGCUAAUACAACCCAACCAGGUAGCAUGUCAACAUCAUCAUGCUUCUGAAGCUAGAAACUGACUGGGACUAGAAAGAAGGGCUUCAGGAUGUCUGUGUUGUGAUAGAACAUUUCGAGUUCACGUAACGAGCUUUCUCGUGGCGAUGCUCAGGCAAAGAACAAUGUCAUGUUAUGACAAAGCGUUGACAAUAACAUGAAAUCACUGCAUAUCGAUCUAUUAUUAAGGAGUUGCAGUUUUCCAGCAGAAAGUCUCCUGGAGAGUUGGAGGUAAAGGAGACUGCACAGGGCAGAGACACACAGGCCAACCACCUUGUGAUCAGCAGUGAUUUACUCUUACAUUCCAGAACAUGGCUCCUGCUAACAUUCUGGCGUUAGAUGACCGACCUUUGUCUGGACCAUUUCGUGCGGGGAAAUUGCUCCAGUAACUGAAGAAAGGAAAAGAGCAGAGCCCUAAGGGACCACUUCCCAUGGUGCCGGCCACAGCCCUCCAGCUGACCUUUGGGGAAUGGUGACACAAACUUCCUGGCUCCUCGCUAGCAACAUCUUUGAUCAGUCCUUUAAAGAAGAAAAUCCCAGGGAUUGGAGACUCAGCCAAAGAAGUCAAGGAGCGAAGGGGAAGGACGGUUUCAACAAAAUAGACAGAGGAAACGGUUUUGAGGCCUUGAAGAGCAUCUAAAGAAGCAGACUCUGGUCUGCCCCGUUUACUCUGGAUCAGCUUUACAGUACAGAAAGGUAUUGUUCCAGGAUCGGUGGUGAGAGACGCAGCUUUGUGCUUCGUCUGGUGAAAAUGUGCCCAGUCCUGUCAUCAUGCAUCAUUUACAGAGUGAAAUAGAACCAAAUUCAAAUAUCUUUAAAAGUCUUUGUCUCUCUGUUUCUCUCUCUCUCUCUCAUACACACACAGACACACACACACAAGUCUCUCUGUCUCUCUCUUACACACACACACACACACACACACACACACUCACUCUCACUCGUGAUUGGAAUAUCAGGAGAUAUAUUCCUACCUGGCAGGAUGCUCAGUAGUGCAAUGAACACCUUUUACAGCUGUCCUAAAAUAUUCAUUGGUUUGGGAAGCUAGUAUUCUUUAGCCAUCAUGCUGUAUCUAUCUUGUUAUAAAAGGAAAACUCCAGUAUAAGUGGGCGUCAGUGAUUCCGGAGCAUGCUGUAAUAUCCACGGAGGCUUCCUGAUAGCGUUACUUGGGCGUCAGUGAUCCCGGAGCAUGCUGUAAUAUCCACGGAGGCUUCCUGAUAGCGUUGCUUGGGACAGUCUUCAGAAUUAAGUUGUCGUUGGAAAGGUUUGGUAUGCUUUGAUUUUUCUUAAGAUUCAAAAAUAUCUGAAUCUAUAAAAACCAAGACGAAGAAUGUAAACACGAAUUCAUGAAUGUAUUCACCUACGUCUUCAGGCUCUGUCCAUCAGGGGACAGCUUGUUCUCCGACAUGUGUGUGCCUGCCUUUGGAAUCCACAACACAUUCCAGGGAAAUGAUAUCCUACCCGGCUUGGUUGUUUACUCUGAUGAGAGCAUAUUUGAACCUCAUUUUUGCCCUCUUCAGUUUGUUUACAUUGAAGCAAAACAUUCUCACGCAGGGAAAGAGUCCAUACUCUUUCUCAGUGGAGGAGGGCGUUUCUUUCUAGGAUCAGCAACUUCGUGUCUGUAGAGUUAAUUAACAGGAGGUUGGAGACCAGUCCUUCAGGCUACACGUCUGUAUCCGUGAUCUUUGGCAAGGGCAGAGCACUAUCACAGGCAAUGGAUGAGAUAUGCAAAUAAUGGAACCUAACUAGAGCUGUGUUCUCAGCCUGCUGUCUGCUGAUAGCAGAGCGGUUCUGACCACCAUCACCUUGGAGGAUCUGAGAAACUCCUCUGUGAGAACAGCAGAAUGGUUUAGAGUUAAAAUCCUCGUCCAGCUUGCUGUGACAGCUUACAUUUUUUUCACACCCUUCUUGCUGUGAUGGAAAGUCUUCCACAUCGGAAGAGAUCUGUGCAAAUCAUUAGACAAAGUCUAUCAGUCAUGUACGUCUGUAAGCUUUGAUCAUUCGAAAACGUUAUUUUAGAUUGACAUCCUGCCUCACUCAAAGCAGGCGCUGACAGCAUGGCACUGCGUAAGUUUCAGUCUACUAUAAAAGUUUAACGUUUUAGAUGCUUGGCUUUGCUGAAUGCCUACCUCCAGUGCUCAGGAGUCACUAAGCACAUUUUGUGGCUAUGGAGCACAGUUUCUGCUCAAUUGUGAUGUGCCCUAAAGUGGAGGGAAUAUAUGGGGCUUUAAAGACAGUUGAAACAGUGUUUGUAUAUAAUUGGUUAAACCAUGAAUGCUGCCAAAGUUUCUUUCACUUGUUUCUUUUGACUUUGCUAAGUAUGAUUACAUCUUAAUCACUGGUAUAUCUACAGUUGACAUGCAUAGUUCACAUUCUUCUUCUUCUGAGUAAUGCUCUCUAAAGGCUUGAGAAGUAAGCUAUGAAGAGACAUUAUGUUAUGUUUUGUGCUGGUCUCCUGCCUUUGAAGUAGUCCAGUAAGAUCCUUAAUCGCCACAAACCCCUUUGAAAAGCCUAGGAAACGCCUCUUACUAGGAUCCCAAGGACAAGGACCUCAAAGGAUGUUGUCAUCCUGGCUGUGACUCGUGAGCUAAAGCGAACUUCGAGUUCAUACUUCACUGGGCAAAACACGCAUACUCAGCUGUUGCCCCUAUUACUACUAACUCUUCCUCGGUGUGCUCCUAAAAAGUAGAAGAAUCUUGAGGUAGAAUCAAGGAAUGUUUCAGUUCACAAUUUUCAGAGUCAGUAUCUAGUAGAGAAGAGAACCUUAAAAAAAAUGUUUGCUGAACUGAGAUAGUGAGUGCAAAUACAAAUUACAGGUGCCUCUGCAUUGCACCACAGUGUAAUUGAACUCAGCUUCUUGCUGCAGUGACGAGAGUUCUGUUCUAACAUGAUGUGACUAGAACAAAUGCCAGCUCUGAGGGAUGUAGACAGUAGCAUAGGGGGAGUUCUGGGAGGUUGGGGCAAUUCAAAGAUCCAAAAGCAUAAGGAAACCAAACAAAGUUUAUGUUGUUACCCAAGUUAGUUAGAAUGUGUUGGUGGCAAGGAUCCAAUAGCUCCGAGAAGUCAGUGUAGGCCUGAGAUCUUGACUUAUGAUGGAAGUCAAUGAUGGUGCUUUGAGGCCCCAUGAAGCAAAGUUCAGGCUAGUCAUGGGCCUCUGAUGUACUUCUUACAGCUUGAGUAGGUGGUUGGUUGUGGCUCACAUGGAGGUCUGAUCCCUCUGGCACUAAUAGGAGUUGGCUUCAUUUGAUUAUGGACAGGAUAAGUUAGAGUCAGGUUCAGAUAUGUAUUGAAGAUUUUCAACAUAAAGCACCAACAAGAGGGUUGAGGAGAUAGCCAGGUAUGACAAGUGCUUUUUUUUUUUUUAAUGAGUGUGAAAGCCAGAGCACAAUUCCCAGAACCCACAUCAAAAAGCACGAUGUGGUUGUUCUAUGCUUAUAGUCCCAGUGUUGAAGAGGAAAAGCCAGAACCCUGGGGCUCACUAGCUAGCCAAUCUAGCUUAUCCAUGAACCCCAAGACUCAGUGAGACUCCUUCUCCCAAAACACAAGUGCAGAGUUCCUUAGAAAAACGUCUGAGGUUCACCUCUGACCUCCACAUACGUGUACCCUUCUAAGAACCCAUGUGCAUGUGUGUGUAUGUGUGUGUGUGCGCGCGUACACACACACACACACACACACACACACACACACACAUACAUCUACACACAUUGUAAGCAGGGUUUCUUUAGUUACUCAGUUGUGGAAGACAGAGACUGAGCAUUUAGGGUUUAUAAAUACUCUUGGAAUUCAGUAAGAGAAUAAAAAUCUCUUUUCCAACCAUCAACCAGCUACUAGAUGUUGCAGAGUUAAAGCAUUCUUUUUCCUUUUCUUUCCUUUUCUUUCCUUUUCUUUCCUUUCCUUUCCUU
This is a non-coding RNA of Myodes glareolus (Bank vole), 4351 nucleotides long. Lineage: Eukaryota; Metazoa; Chordata; Mammalia; Rodentia; Cricetidae. The record is from RefSeq and is a predicted model, not a curated record.